CCUACGGGAGGCAGCAGUAGGGAAUUUUCGGCAAUGGGGGGAACCCUGACCGAGCAACGCCGCGUGAACGAAGAAGUUCUUCGUAAUGUAAAGUUCUUUUAACAGGGAAGAAAGAGAACUUUGACGGUACCUGAAGAAUAAGCUCCGGCUAACUACGUACCAGCAGCCGCGGUAAUACGUAGGGAGCGAGCGGUAGCCGGAAUUCUUGGGCGUAAGGGGUGCGUAGAUGGCAUAGUAAGUCUUUUGUAAAAAUGCGGGGCUCAACCCAGUCGUGCAAAAGAUACUGCAAAGCUAGAGUAUGACAGAGGCAAGUGGAACUACACGUGUAGCGGUAAAAUGCGUAAAUAUAUGGAAGAACACCAGUGGCGAAGGCGGCUUGCUGGGUCGAUACUGACAUUGAGGCACGAAAGCGUGGGGAGCAAACAGGAUUAGAUACCCGAGUAGUC
RNAcentral lists this ribosomal RNA (446 nucleotides) under uncultured bacterium. Its description in RNAcentral is "partial 16S ribosomal RNA". It matches the Rfam family "Bacterial small subunit ribosomal RNA", at positions 338 to 795 of the family's 1533-position model. The record is from RNAcentral.